GAUGGCGACCGGCGCACGGGUGAGUAACGCGUAUGCAACCUGCCUGAUACCGGGGUAUAGCCCAUGGAAACGUGGAUUAACACCCCAUAGUACUUUUAUCCUGCAUGGGAUGUGAGUUAAAUGUUUAAGGUAUCGGAUGGGCAUGCGUCCUAUUAGUUAGUUGGCGGGGUAACAGCCCACCAAGACGAUGAUAGGUAGGGGUUCUGAGAGGAAGGUCCCCCACAUAGGAACUGAGACACGGUCCUAACUCC
This 251-nucleotide ribosomal RNA is filed under the name uncultured Bacteroidota bacterium. RNAcentral's name for it is "uncultured Bacteroidetes bacterium partial 16S ribosomal RNA". It matches the Rfam family "Bacterial small subunit ribosomal RNA", at positions 87 to 339 of the family's 1533-position model. Lineage: Bacteria; Pseudomonadati; Bacteroidota. The record is from RNAcentral.